Molecule: non-coding RNA, 183 nt
Filed under: Paenibacillus beijingensis
Lineage: Bacteria; Bacillati; Bacillota; Bacilli; Caryophanales; Paenibacillaceae
Description: 6S / SsrS RNA
Rfam family: 6S / SsrS RNA
About the family: E. coli 6S RNA was the first non coding RNA to be sequenced, but its function was unknown until recently.
Source: Rfam by way of RNAcentral
UACAUCCUGCGAUGUACGUUACGGCUAUUCGUUGUUUUGAACCAAUGGCUGUUUCUAGGGAGUUCAAUAUUGAGGCGCGGCUGACAUGCCCCCGAAAGGGGACUUCAAAAACGCAUCUGUGGACACCCACCUGCGAGAGCGGGUUCAGAAACAUGUUAGUCGGACGGCAUUUGCGGGGUUUUU